UGGCGCGUGACUUGGUUCAAUGGAGUUCAAGAUGGUGAUGAAUUUAAGGUCUUGUGCUUCAAAGAAUCUGAAGUUUUUCAGGUGAAAAAGACGUAUUUGAGUGUGUGAUCACUGAUAAAUACAGUGAGGUUUUUGCGGCUUUUGUCCCUUUCAGUCUGGUAGAAUGCAGGUUCUGGCAGGUUUGAACCCACCAGCCUCAGUGCAUGUGGCCGGAACUCUAACUGCUGAGCUAUGGACGCCAAGCCACUACAUUUAUUUUAAAUCUCAUCCAUGCCCGUGCCCUGUGGUCACAAACAGUAUGGAGAUGAAGACCAGCAGGCCAAACUGCUGCGGCCGCGGGGCCAGCAUGACGAGGACGAAGUGGAUGAGGUCCAUGAGGUAGUUCAGGGAGCACUGCACGCCGUUCACAGCCCCUCGCUCCACUUCUGGAAUGUUCUCCUGGAGAAGCUGGGUUACGGAAGUGCCCCCCUGUGUGUUGCUGAGGCUUCACAGCCAACUGGGGAACUAGUUGAUAAACCCUGGACAAAAAUAGAAACUCUACAAGAAGUGAAACCACGUUCCAUCCGAGGAUGAAACCACAACCGAUCACAUGAGACGCCCAUGUCAUCACCUGGCCCACAGACAAGGGAGCAAAUAUAUUGAUGAUCUGGUCCAGCCGCCGGACUGAUGCAUUCAUCCCUGAGAGAGGAGGGAGACAGUGCAACUUAGUCUAAAAUUGACUAGGAACUUCGGUGACCCAAAGGGGUGUCCAACACUUUGGCUUCUCCAUGCCACGUUGGAAGAAAGAAAGUUGUCUUGGGCCACACAGGAAACACACAAACCCUAAUGAAAGCUGAUGAGCACAAAAACAAAGGUCCAUGUGUAAUUUCCAUGGUAUCUGACACCACAGGUAAGCGAAAAAUUCCCAUCAUCUGCAUGUGCCCCACAGGCUGCGGGUUGGACACCCUUGACUGCAGCUAUAAUGUUAAGUGCUUUUACAAGCCCUGUGUCUCAUAAAAUCUUUCCCAAAACUGCAGAUGAGAAAAGUCAAGUUUGAAAAACUUAGGUAAUGUGCCCCAAAGUAUGCAGCUAGUAAAAAGCCCAGCUGGUUUUAGCUGAAUUCAAAGUCAAGACUGGUUUAUUCCAAAUAACGUUCUCUCAGCGUUUAUAGUGCCUCUGAGAGGCCUGCAUAGCUCAUCAGCUCUCUGCUUCUCAGCUGAUCAGAGGAACCUCAAGGCCCUGGUGGUACCGCUCACCAGCCAGCUGGCGUCUGUUGCCACCCGUGAGGCUCACAAUCCAGUCCUUCUGAAUAGCGAUGGUCAGCACAGUGCCCGCCAGAUUUGCCAAGGCUGCCAGCGUGGUCACCACCGCAUAGCAGGCCACCUGCCGGGGAAGGGAAAGGAAUUUUGGAACCCAGAAUAGACUUCCUCGUACACUGUGGUACAUACAGGUAUCUAUCUGACUGCUUGAGGGACAUUAUUCUAAAUGAACACAAAGACCUUUGUGAGAAAAAAGUUCAAUGUAGGUUUGGAGCCAAAUGCUUUGUGUUAAUGUGAAGCAUUUCCUUUCCCUACCCCAUCAGUGCCGCAGGCCAGAGCCAAUGCCAAUCUGCACCUUGCAGACUUAGACUCUGCUAUUCUGCUGUCUUCACAUCUGCGGGAUUUCAGCAAGGCUUCACAGAUUAGGGGGCAAACGCUAAAGAAGGUUAGCCAAAUCCAAAACCAGUGAGCAGAGCUGCCCAGAGAACACUCCCUGAUGGACAUUCAGGUCUGUCUCGGUGACACUGUCUCAGUGACACCCGCGCAGGAGGGGCGGGGAGCCACUCACAGUGAACCAGCCGUGCCAGAUUUGUUCCAUCUCCUUCUUGUAGGAGAAGACAAGCAUCAGCAGGACGCAGCAGGCGGUGACAGAGGCGUUCUGAGUGAAGAGGGAGGCGUGAGCCACUGUGGAUGGAAACACCCCAGCCCAGUAUUUACUCUUGGUUUGAAAAGGCAGGUCACAACUACAUCAUUGCUGAAGGCAGACUCACGGCAUUCGGCCAAACCUUGUGGCUGCCAGAGUUAAAGUUUUCUUCAGUGAUCACCAGCUUACAGGGUAAAAAAGCAGGCUCGUGCACACAGGAACAGCAAAGCCUUCGCUACCACAAGAAAAAAAAAAGCUGGACUUGACAAGGGAAUGAAAGCAUACUUUCAGAGAAAGAUCAUAUGAAAAGCUAGAUUCUAGAUAAAUCAAGGAAUUUCAUUUUUUCCGUAUUCCAUCACACUCUUCCGGAUUGAAUUUGUAACUGAAGCUAUCAAUUUGGUUUAAGGACCAACCCUCUAGACUUUAAACAAGCUAGUCUUUUCAAUGAUGUGGCUUCAGAGAAUGCCUUCCCAAGUCUCCUAUGGGGGAUGAAAACAAUCAUGUUGACUAGUAUCGAAGAGAAAAGAGAAACCUAGGAUAGCUGGCAUUCUUACUGGACAAAGGAAGCUCAAGGAGAUACAGCCAAAAGCUAAAAGUAGACCUACGUUGGAACAAAUAAGUUUCCAGAUAUUAAUUACUAGUCUAGAUAUUAAUUACCUGGUACAAAAGAUACAUUUUACACAUAGAAAUUGUCUUUAAUAAAAAUAAUACAAAUGUGUUAUACACAGGUAAUACCAGAAUAUUAACAAGGAGGCUUUUCAGUAACUUAGAAUUAAAAACAUGUACUUAGUAAAAAUCUGUAUUGAAAUAUUUGAAAUAUAGCACCAGAGAAUGAUGACAUCAAGCUGAGUAUCUGUUUUUCUGGAGUUUUUCAGUUAUGCUCUAUUGCCAUUUAGUUCAUAUCUAUAGUUUUUUUGUUUUGUUUUUUUUUUUCACUAAACAGCCCCACAAAAGCUAGGAGGUCAUAGUGUACCACUUAAUUAUGUAUGUCAUAGUUGAGAGCAUUACCUUUAUUUCUUGGUUUCCUGUCGAUCCAAUCACCAAUUAAGACCCCAAAUAUUAAUACAGAUCCAGCCACCACUAAGCCAAAUACUGCUGAUAGAAGAAGAUUAUGUCCGUAUAAUUCUAUCAGGAACACAGACAUAGCAAAGUGCCACAUUCGGUCUCCCUGUAAGUCAGUAGAGGCAAAGCAUGUUUUAAUCAUUGGCCUAAAAGAUGGAACAAAAUUAAAAUCCAGAAGGAUGUAUUUCUUCCAAAGGACAUGCAAUAUGUAGGAUUUAAAAACAAAAUGUCAAAAUUAUGCUUUUAUGCAAUACACCAAUAACUUUAUUUUUCUGCAAUAUAGUUACAAAUUUUAAAAGUUGGACAGAUUAUAUUUUAAAAUUCUAAGAGCAUCAAAGAGUCAACAAGCUAAUGAGAAAAUAUCAGAUGAACACUUGAGAGAAUACAAGAAUCCCAAGAAAUAAUAAGCCCAGGAUAUCUGAGGACGUCUGCUGAUUAAGAAAAAACAGUAGUGAGAUAGAAUAAUUUGGUGGGCUCAGAUAAUUAGAUAAUAGAUGUCCUUGAUACCAAAGAUGGGGACUAAGAUAAACUAGUUUUCAGUUUAAGCUAAGCCCCAUGACUGCAGGUCAGUAUAAGCAAGGGUGAACUUGAAGCAACCAACCCUUGCAUGGACUCGUAGUCCAGUUGUACCUCACCUGAAUGGUCCAGAAAACCUCAAGCCUUGAACUUGGAUUAAAGUUUCCCAAAUGACUAGUGCCCAGUGUGCAUCUAAAAGAAUCCAAUUAAAUUCUUUCUAAAGGAAGAUACCAUUAUCUUUGGCUUCGCAUAAUCCCUACCAUAAUUUUUAAACAAUGCCCAGCAUAUAGUCAAAGAUAAGUAGUCACAUAAGGAACUUAAGCGCUAUGAGCAAGAUCUAUGAUAAAUAAGAUAUAACCAAAACAGAUCUAUCAGAGGCUUCAGAUAUUUAUCUUAUCAAAAACUGGCCAGAAAAUAAUAAUGUUUAAUAUAUUUAAAGAGAUAAAUGCCAAGUCUGAUAAUCUAAACAGGAAAUUGGAAACUAAGAAGUGACAUGGGCAGUUAAAAGAGAAUUAAAUAGAAAUUUUAGGACUGGAAAAUAUAGCAAUAAAAACUAAAAUUAAAGCCUCCUUUGCUGUGUUUUAUAGCAGAUUAGACAUAAUCUAAUCUGUAAUCAGUUAACUAUUGAUAAUGGCUGCAGAAACCAUCUACAAUAAAACGCAGAAAGACAAAAUGAGAAGAACAGUAAGGAAGACAAGAAAGGAGAAAAGAAACACAUAAUUGGCCAAACAAAUAGAAAACACAAAAUAAGAUGGUAAAUCUAGCUUAAAUAUAUCAUUAGUUAUCAUUCAGUGUAAACGGACUGUAUGUUCAAGUUAAAGGUUAGAGAUCUAACUUUUAUUUUUUUGAAACAGAGUCUCACUAUGUCCCCCUCAGUAGAGUGCUGUGGCGUCACAGCUCACAGCAAGCUUAAACUCAUGGGCUCAAGUGAUUCUCUUGCCUCAGCCUCCUGAGUAGCUGUGACUAUAGGCACCUGCACAACACCUGGCUAUUUUUUGUUUUUAGCAGGCCCAGGCUGGGUUAGAACCCACCAAACCCGGUGCAUGUGGCCAGUGCCCUAACCACUUAGCUAUGGGCACGGAGCCAAGAUCUAAUUUUUUAAAAAUUGAAUUUAAAAGUACAACUAUAUACUCCUUAAAAAGAAAAAAAAGAAUAAAUAAAGGAUGGAUAAUGAUAUACCAUGCAAACACUAACAAAAAGAAAUUCAUGCCAGUAAUUAAUACUAGACAAAAUAGAUUUUAAGGCAAAAAGCCUUGUUUGAAAUAAAGAGAAACAUUUUAUAAUGAUAAAACUGAAACUCACAAGAAAGACAUAAAAAUUCCAAUUUUGUGUGUCCUAAUAAAAAGGGCUCAAAAUAUAUGACAAAAAAAUACGUAGAAUUGAAAGGAGAAAUAGGCAAUUAUUGUAGGAGAUUUUUAACUCACCAUCUUCCUCUUAGCAAUUGAUAGAACAAGCAAAAAAUUAAAAUUUAUAUUAAGAAUGCACGUGUGUUCAUUCUACUUAAGGGUCACAUAAAAAACAUUGUACCCAACAACUUCAUAAUACACAUGGUUUUUAAGCACAUAAAACAUUUAUAGAAAUUGAUCAUAUAAUAGAUCAUAGAGCAAAUCUUAAUUCCAAAGUGUAAAAACUAUAUGAAAGAUGUUCUCUGACCUCAAGGCAGUUAAGCUAAAAAUCAGUAAUAUGAAAAUCAGAAAAUCCUUAAGCGGUGGCACCUGUGGCUCAGUGGGUAGGGCACCGGCCAUAUACACCCAGGCUGGUGGGUUCGAGCCUGGCCCAGGUCAGCUAAACAACAAUGACAACUGCAACAAAAAAUAGCCAGGCAUCGUGGCAGGUGCCUGUAGUCCCAGCUACUUGGGAGCCUGAGGCAAGAGAAUCGCUUAAGCCCAAGAAUUUGAGGUUGCUAUGAGCUGUGAUGGCACUCUACCCAGGGCAACAUAGUGAGACUCUGUCUCAAAAAAAAAAAAAAAGAAUAAAAAGAAAAUCAUCAUGUAUGUAGAUUAAAGAAUACAUUUCUAAAUAAUACCUAGGUCAAACUAGCAAUCAUAAAGGACAUUAUACAUUUUUUUAAACAAAGAGCAUCAAACCUUGUCAGAUGUAGUGUAAGCACUGCUUAAAGGGAAAUGUAUAGUCUGAAAUGCACACAUUAGAAAGGAGAGGCUGAAUUUAAUGAGCUAAGGGAAUAGCAAAUUAAACCCAAAGAAAGUAGAAGAAAGGCAGUAAUAAAGGUAAGAGAAGAAAUUAAUGAACUAGAAAAACGAAGACACAAUGAAAAGGCUUGUUAAAGUCAAAAGCUGGCUCUUUGGAAAGACUAAUAAAAUAAAUCGAGGUAAAAUGAAAUACUAUACAGCAAUUAAAAGUACCCCAAUCAGUGUUGCAUGCAAUAAAUGGAUAUUACAAACAUAAUGGUGAGCAAAAGAAGCAAGACAUAAUAGCCUACAUAUGGUAGGGUUUAAUUAUAAUGUAAUAUAGUUUCAGGAUGCCUAUAUCAAUGAUAAAACUAUGACGAAAAUAAGGAAGUGAAUCCCAUUAACAUGAGGCUCAUGGCUCCUUCCUGUUGGUGAAGAAGGGGUGUGACUAGAAUGGCCCCAGGAGGGACAGCUGGGGUGCUGGCUACAUCCUAGGUCUUUACCUGGUGGCAGUUUCAUGGUAUUCACUUUAUACUUAUUGAUUAUUAUUGUUCCUACACAUACGUUUUAUGCAGUCAUUUCUGUUUGUUCCAUAUUUGAUCAUUCAAACAUCUUUUUUUUUAUUUUUUAUUUUUUUAUUUUUAUUAAAUCAUAGCUGUGUACAUUGAUAUGAUCAUAGGGCACCAUACACUUGGUUCAUAGAUCGUUUGACACAUUUUCAUCACACUAGUUAACAUAGCUUUCAUAGCAUUUUCUUAGUUAUUUUGCUUGAGGACAGCAAAAUA
Long non-coding RNA from Nycticebus coucang (slow loris), 6373 nucleotides. RefSeq lists it as uncharacterized. The record is from RefSeq and is a predicted model, not a curated record. The transcript has 7 exons. Lineage: Eukaryota; Metazoa; Chordata; Mammalia; Primates; Lorisidae.